GGAUUAGAUACCCGGGUAGUCCACGCCGUAAACGUUGGGCGCUAGAUGUGGGGACCAUUCCACGGUUUCCGUGUCGUAGCUAACGCAUUAAGCGCCCCGCCUGGGGAGUACGGCCGCAAGGCUAAAACUCAAAGGAAUUGACGGGGGCCCGCACAAGCGGCGGAGCAUGCGGAUUAAUUCGAUGCAACGCGAAGAACCUUACCAAGGCUUGACAUAUACCGGAAACGGCUGGAAACAGUCGCCCCCUUGUGGUCGGUAUACAGGUGGUGCAUGGUUGUCGUCAGCUCGUGUCGUGAGAUGUUGGGUUAAGUCCCGCAACGAGCGCAACCCUCGUUCUAUGUUGCCAGCGGUUCGGCCGGGAACUCAUAGGAGACUGCCGGGGUCAACUCGGAGG
Molecule: ribosomal RNA, 394 nt
Filed under: uncultured bacterium
Lineage: Bacteria
Description: bacterial SSU rRNA
Rfam family: Bacterial small subunit ribosomal RNA
Source: RNAcentral